AAAGACCGAAUUCUUCGGUUUUUGUGUCCAACGUUUGACCAUCUUAUAUAAAAUUUUUUUAUGAUUAGUAUUUUUAUUAUUGUUAGAUGAUAAAACAUGAAUAAUUCUUUAUGCAUGACUUAUCUUUUUUAAUUUUUUCAUAAUUUUUUUAAAUAAGACGAACGGUCAAAUGUUAGACACGGAAAACCCAGGAAUUAAG
Molecule: non-coding RNA, 199 nt
Organism: Oryza barthii
Lineage: Eukaryota; Viridiplantae; Streptophyta; Magnoliopsida; Poales; Poaceae
Source: Rfam